UUUAAUGAAGAGAAUAGAAAAAUUGAAAUUGAAAUAUUUAAUGCAUCUAAAGAAUGUAGAUUUAAACAAAAUAAAUCUGAUUCAAUGCUGCAAAAAUUUAAGAGAUUCACUGACCAUAAUCCACAAAAUGAAAAAAAAAUCCAAUAUUUGAAUAAAAAUAUCAACGAUGAAAUUAAAAAGAUUGUUAUAGAAAAAUUUUACGAUUUAGGCUUCUAUUUUAAUAUAGACACUCAGAUGAUUGAUGUACAAGUACCAGAUGAAAUUAUUAAUAAUAAAAAAAUGGAAAAAAGAAAAUCAAAUUUGCCACAUUUUAUCGAGAUAG
This is a long non-coding RNA of Daktulosphaira vitifoliae (grape phylloxera), 322 nucleotides long. RefSeq lists it as uncharacterized. The transcript has 2 exons. The record is from RefSeq and is a predicted model, not a curated record. NCBI's taxonomy places the organism in Eukaryota, Metazoa, Arthropoda, Insecta, Hemiptera, Phylloxeridae.